RNAcentral lists this transfer RNA (76 nucleotides) under Calderihabitans maritimus. RNAcentral describes it as "tRNA-Val". It matches the Rfam family "tRNA". Rfam says of the family: Transfer RNA (tRNA) molecules are approximately 80 nucleotides in length. The record is from RNAcentral. Lineage: Bacteria; Bacillati; Bacillota; Clostridia; Neomoorellales; Calderihabitantaceae.
GGGCGGUUAGCUCAGCUGGGAGAGCACCUGCCUUACAAGCAGGGGGGCGGCAGUUCAAGUCUGUCACCGCCCACCA